UAAUGACAUUGUCUAUUCAUAAGUCUUGACCAAAUUACGUGCCAGCAGUCGCGGUAACACGUAGCAGACAAGUGUUAUUCAUCUUUAAUAGGUUUAUGGGGUACUUAGACGGUAAAUCAAGCCUCAAAAAGGGACUAGUUUGCUAGAGUUUUAUGUGAGGAAGUAUUAAGGUACUGGUGGUGUAGAGAUGAAAUUCGAUGAUACCUUGAAUGGCACAGAUAUAGGCGAAAGCAUCUUCUUAUGUAAUAACUGACGUUAAAAGACGAAGGCUUUGUGUCUCGAACAGGAUUAGAUACCCUAGUAGUCAAAGCAGACAAUGAUGAAUGUCAUAGAUUGGAUUUAAAUUUAUUUAAUCUAUAAAUGAAAGUGUAAGCAUUCCACCUUAAGAGUAAUUUGGCAACAUUGGAACUGAAAUCAUUAGACCGUUUCUGAGACCAGUAGUGAAGUAUGUUGUUUAAUUUGAUGAUCCGCAAAAAACCUUACCACAACUUGAAUAGAUAAUUUUUAUCAUACAAGCGUUGCACGGCUGUCUUUA
This 535-nucleotide ribosomal RNA is filed under the name Megalospora tuberculosa. RNAcentral describes it as "mitochondrial SSU rRNA". It matches the Rfam family "Bacterial small subunit ribosomal RNA", at positions 467 to 1057 of the family's 1533-position model. Lineage: Eukaryota; Fungi; Ascomycota; Lecanoromycetes; Teloschistales; Megalosporaceae. The record is from RNAcentral.